RNAcentral lists this ribosomal RNA (301 nucleotides) under uncultured bacterium. Its description in RNAcentral is "partial 16S ribosomal RNA". It matches the Rfam family "Bacterial small subunit ribosomal RNA", at positions 509 to 807 of the family's 1533-position model. The record is from RNAcentral.
CAGUAGCCGCGGGAAUACGAAGGGGGCUAGCGUUGUUCGGAUUUACUGGGCGUAAAGGGCGCGUAGGCGGGCGAAUAAGUCAGGGGUGAAAUCCCAAGGCUCAACCUUGGAACUGCCUUUGAUACUGUUUGUCUUGAGUUCGAGAGAGGUAAGUGGAACUGCGAGUGUAGAGGUGAAAUUCGUAGAUAUUCGCAAGAACACCAGUGGCGAAGGCGGCUUACUGGCUCGAAACUGACGCUGAGGCGCGAAAGCGUGGGGAGCAAACAGGAUUAGAUACCCCCGUAGUCCCUGUCUCUUAUAC